AGUGAACGCUGGCGGUAGGCCUAACACAUGCAAGUCGAACGGCAGCACAGUAAGAGCUUGCUCUUACGGGUGGCGAGUGGCGGACGGGUGAGGAAUACAUCGGAAUCUACUUUUUCGUGGGGGAUAAUGUAGGGAAACUUACGCUAAUACCGCAUACGACCUACGGGUGAAAGCAGGGGAUCUUCGGACCUUGCGCGAUUGAAUGAGCCGAUGUCGGAUUAGCUAGUUGGCGGGGUAAAGGCCCACCAAGGCGACGAUCCGUAGCUGGUCUGAGAGGAUGAUCAGCCCCACUGGAACUGAGACACGGUCCAGACUCCUACGGGAGGCAGCAGUGGGGAAUAUUGGACAAUGGGCGCAAGCCUGAUCCAGCCAUACCGCGUGGGUGAAGAAGGCCUUCGGGUUGUAAAGCCCUUUUGUUGGGAAAGAAAAGCAGCAGGUUAAUACCCCGCUGUUCUGACGGUACCCAAAGAAUAAGCACCGGCUAACUUCGUG
This 492-nucleotide ribosomal RNA is filed under the name uncultured bacterium. Its description in RNAcentral is "partial 16S ribosomal RNA". It matches the Rfam family "Bacterial small subunit ribosomal RNA", at positions 29 to 507 of the family's 1533-position model. The record is from RNAcentral.